CCUACGGGAGGCAGCAGUGGGGAAUAUUGGGCAAUGGAGGCAACUCUGACCCAGCAACGCCGCGUGAAUGAUGAAGGUCUUCGGAUUGUUAAGCUCUGUGAUGGGGGAUGAACACAAUGACGGUACCUGAUUAAGAAGCCCCGGCUAACUACGUGCCAGCAGCCGCGGUAAUACGUAGGGGGCAAGCGUUAUCCGGAUUUACUGGGUGUAAAGGGAGCGUAGACGGCAGCGCAAGUCUGAAGUGAAAUGCCGGGGCUUAACCCCGGAACUGGUUUGGAAACUGUGCAGCUAGAGUGCAGGAGAGGUAAGUGGAAUUCGUGGUGUAGCGGUGAAAUGCGUAGAUAUUAGGAGGAACACCGGUGGCGAAGGCGGCUUACUGGACUGUAACUGACGUUGAGGCUCGAAAGCGUGGGGAGCAAACAGGAUUAGAUACCCCUGUAGUC
This 443-nucleotide ribosomal RNA is filed under the name uncultured bacterium. RNAcentral's name for it is "partial 16S ribosomal RNA". It matches the Rfam family "Bacterial small subunit ribosomal RNA", at positions 338 to 795 of the family's 1533-position model. The record is from RNAcentral.